This 87-nucleotide transfer RNA is filed under the name Desulfobacteraceae bacterium. RNAcentral describes it as "tRNA-Leu". It matches the Rfam family "tRNA". Rfam says of the family: Transfer RNA (tRNA) molecules are approximately 80 nucleotides in length. Their secondary structure includes four short double-helical elements and three loops (D, anti-codon, and T loops). The record is from RNAcentral. Lineage: Bacteria; Pseudomonadati; Thermodesulfobacteriota; Desulfobacteria; Desulfobacterales; Desulfobacteraceae.
GCCUGGGUGGCGGAACUGGUAGACGCAAGGGACUUAAAAUCCCUCGGCCUCCGGGCCGUGCCGGUUCGAUUCCGGCCCUAGGCACCA